GAUGAAGAACGCAGCGAAAUGCGACAAGUAAUGUGAAUUGCAGAAUUCCGUGAAUCAUCGAAUCUUUGAACGCACAUUGCGCCCUCUGGUAUUCUGGCGGGCAUGCCUGUUCGAGCGUCAUUUCAACCCUCAAGCCCCCGGGCUUGGUGUUGGGGAUCGGCGUGCCCUCGCGGCGCGCCGUCCCCUAAAUCUAGUGGCGGUCUCGCUGUAGCUUCCUCUGCGUAGUAGCAACACUCGCACUGGAUCGCAGCGCGGCCACGCCGUUAAACCCCCCACUUCUGAAAGUUUGACCUCGGAUCAGGUAGGAAUACCCGCUGAACUUAAGCAUAUCAAUAAGCGGAGGA
Molecule: unclassified non-coding RNA, 344 nt
Filed under: soil metagenome
Description: partial contains 5.8S ribosomal RNA, internal transcribed spacer 2, and large subunit ribosomal RNA
Rfam family: 5.8S ribosomal RNA (bases 1-120)
Source: RNAcentral